This is a transfer RNA of 76 nucleotides. It matches the Rfam family "tRNA". From Rfam's summary of the family: Transfer RNA (tRNA) molecules are approximately 80 nucleotides in length. Their secondary structure includes four short double-helical elements and three loops (D, anti-codon, and T loops). Further hydrogen bonds mediate the characteristic L-shaped molecular structure. tRNAs have two regions of fundamental functional importance: the anti-codon, which is responsible for specific mRNA codon recognition, and the 3' end, to which the tRNAs corresponding amino acid is attached (by aminoacyl-tRNA synthetases). tRNAs cope with the degeneracy of the genetic code in two manners: having more than one tRNA (with a specific anti-codon) for a particular amino acid; and 'wobble' base-pairing, i.e. permitting non-standard base-pairing at the 3rd anti-codon position.
GGGCGCAUAGCUCAGUUGGUAGAGCAGCUGACUCUUAAUCAGCGGGUCACAGGUUCGAAUCCUGUUGCGCCCACCA